UACAGAGGGGGCAAGCGUUGUUCGGAAUUACUGGGCGUAAAGGGCGCGUAGGCGGCCUUCUAAGUCGAACGUGAAAUCCCUGGGCUCAACCCAGGAACUGCGUCCGAUACUGGGAGGCUUGAAUCCGGGAGAGGGAUGCGGAAUUCCAGGUGUAGCGGUGAAAUGCGUAGAUAUCUGGAGGUACACCGGUGGCGAAGGCGGCAGCCUGGACCGGUAUUGACGCUGAGGCGCGAAAGCUAGGGGAGCAAACGGG
RNAcentral lists this ribosomal RNA (253 nucleotides) under uncultured bacterium. Its description in RNAcentral is "partial 16S ribosomal RNA". It matches the Rfam family "Bacterial small subunit ribosomal RNA", at positions 524 to 776 of the family's 1533-position model. The record is from RNAcentral.